Molecule: transfer RNA, 76 nt
Filed under: Streptomyces scabiei
Lineage: Bacteria; Bacillati; Actinomycetota; Actinomycetes; Kitasatosporales; Streptomycetaceae
Description: tRNA-Trp
Rfam family: tRNA
About the family: Transfer RNA (tRNA) molecules are approximately 80 nucleotides in length. Their secondary structure includes four short double-helical elements and three loops (D, anti-codon, and T loops).
Source: RNAcentral
CGGGGUGUAGCGCAGAGGCAGGCGCGCCGGUCUCCAAAACCGGAAGACGUCGGUUCGAAUCCGGCCGCCCCGCCCC